ACAAAUGCAGAAGAGGAAGUAUAAAACUGGUGGAAGUAAAAGUCAUCUUUCCACCUGGACUGGGUUUUUUGCUCUAUCUUGGCUCUGAUAUCUUUAUUUAUUAUAUCAGUGUUGUUCAACAGUGAUCUUCCUCAUCAUCAAAUUUUAAUUUCCCUCUUUUUAAUUUGUUCACUCAUUUUUGCCAUUCCAGUCAUUCUCCUGACUGGUCUUUAACUCUUUUAUCCAUCUACUUCACAAGAUAUCUAGUUUUGUUAUGUUUCCCAGACUUUCAAAAAUUUAUUUUGAUACUGAUGUUUCAAGUUACAUGUGGCAACAGUCUUUCAAAAGAUAUGCCCACCUGAUUAUACCUGUCCCACUGUGGAAAAUGAAUUUUUGUUUCACACACAUUCUCAGAUUACAAAUUCUUGACUCUGUACAUUGAACCCACAGUCAUAACCAGGAAUUAUAAUCCUCCCUAUCAACCACUUACUUGAUGACUUGAGGGAUUGCAGGAUAGAAUUCAUUUCAAUUUCUGGAGACUUCCUUAACAGAGAAAGCCUCCAAAAAACUGAUUCAGCCACUGGACAACAAGUUCCCCAGAAUAGAAGCUUUAACACAGGUCAAGGUAAUGAUAUGAUCACAUGAUUUCUCUCCUUUACUUUGUUAGUAUGGUGAACUGCACUGAUUUUGAUUCUUAGCUCAGACUGCAUUCUUGAAAUAAAUGUAAUUUGGUCAUCA
Balaenoptera musculus (blue whale) is the source of this 717-nucleotide long non-coding RNA. RefSeq lists it as uncharacterized. NCBI's taxonomy places the organism in Eukaryota, Metazoa, Chordata, Mammalia, Artiodactyla, Balaenopteridae. The record is from RefSeq and is a predicted model, not a curated record. The transcript has 4 exons.